ACAGUGGUGAUUCAGUGGUAGAACUCUCACCUUCCAGGUAGGAGACCUGGGUUUAAUUCUCAGCCAAUGUA
This 71-nucleotide transfer RNA is filed under the name Loxodonta africana (African savanna elephant). It matches the Rfam family "tRNA". From Rfam's summary of the family: Transfer RNA (tRNA) molecules are approximately 80 nucleotides in length. Their secondary structure includes four short double-helical elements and three loops (D, anti-codon, and T loops). Lineage: Eukaryota; Metazoa; Chordata; Mammalia; Proboscidea; Elephantidae. The record is from Rfam by way of RNAcentral.